CCUACGGGAGGCAGCAGUGAGGAAUAUUGGUCAAUGGACGAGAGUCUGAACCAGCCAAGUAGCGUGAAGGAUGACUGCCCUAUGGGUUGUAAACUUCUUUUAUAUGGGAAUAAAAUGUUCCACGUGUGGGAUUUUGUAUGUACCAUAUGAAUAAGGAUCGGCUAACUCCGUGCCAGCAGCCGCGGUAAUACGGAGGAUCCGGGCGUUAUCCGGAUUUAUUGGGUUUAAAGGGAGCGUAGGUGGAUUGUUAAGUCAGGUGUGAAAUUUUGCGGGUCAACCGUAAAAUUGCGGUUGAAACUGGCAGUCUUGAGUACAGUAGAGGUAGGCGGAAUGCGUGGUGUAGCGGUGAAAUGCAUAGAGAGCACGAAGAACUCCGAUUGCGAAGGCAGCUCACUGGACUGCAACUGACACUGAGGCUCGAAAGUGUGGGUAUCAAACAGGAUUAGAUACCCGUGUAGUC
This 460-nucleotide ribosomal RNA is filed under the name uncultured bacterium. Its description in RNAcentral is "partial 16S ribosomal RNA". It matches the Rfam family "Bacterial small subunit ribosomal RNA", at positions 338 to 795 of the family's 1533-position model. The record is from RNAcentral.